CUCAGCCUGCCUGCUCCCUGCUCCCUAGGUCACCAGCCUCUGACCUGCCCUCACUCCCAGUCUUUGCUUUCUAGGUGUCAAGGUCCAGAUACAGUCUCUCAAUGGCGAGCACCUGCACAUCCGGGAAUUCCACCGGGUCAAGGUGGGAGACAUUGCAACCGGCAUCAGCAGCCAGAUCCCGGCCACAGCUUUCAGCUUGGUGACCAAAGAUGGACAGCCUGUUUGCUAUGACAUGGAGGUGCCAGACUCAGGCAUCGACCUGCAGUGCACCCUAGCCCCUGAUGGCAGCUUCGCUUGGGCCUGGAGGGUCAAGCACGGCCAGCUGGAGAACCGGCCCUAGCCCUGUCUUCCAGCACCAGCUCUACUCUGGCCACAGCAGGCUUCCUUUGAAUCUCAGUACUCAGUGGCGCUCUGAGAUGCUGGAUGAGUCUGCUCAGGCCCCUGCCAGUCCCCGGCUGGGCAUAAGACCGGGGCUGUCGAGCAGCAAGCGGAGGAGCAGAGUAAAACGCCUCCCAGGACUUGCCUGCCUCCUGCUGCUGGCUCCUGGCAGGAGAAACUCUUCCCUCAUGAGAAGACAAGGAGGAAGACAGGGGUCUCAUCCCCCAGAGAGAGAGCCAGCGCUUUCUGUGAUGCUCCAAAUGAGGUAGCCAGACCCACAUGGGUCAGUCAGCACUU
This 675-nucleotide long non-coding RNA is filed under the name Rattus norvegicus (Norway rat). RNAcentral's name for it is "long non-coding RNA NONRATT006117". Lineage: Eukaryota; Metazoa; Chordata; Mammalia; Rodentia; Muridae. The record is from RNAcentral.